RNAcentral lists this transfer RNA (77 nucleotides) under Oceanospirillaceae bacterium. Its description in RNAcentral is "tRNA-Pro". It matches the Rfam family "tRNA". From Rfam's summary of the family: Transfer RNA (tRNA) molecules are approximately 80 nucleotides in length. Their secondary structure includes four short double-helical elements and three loops (D, anti-codon, and T loops). RNAcentral also lists the same sequence under 7 other names. Lineage: Bacteria; Pseudomonadati; Pseudomonadota; Gammaproteobacteria; Oceanospirillales; Oceanospirillaceae. The record is from RNAcentral.
CGGGGCGUAGCGCAGUCUGGUAGCGCACCUGCAUGGGGUGCAGGGGGUCGCAGGUUCAAAUCCUGCCGUCCCGACCA